Molecule: non-coding RNA, 112 nt
Filed under: Sporolactobacillus laevolacticus
Lineage: Bacteria; Bacillati; Bacillota; Bacilli; Caryophanales; Sporolactobacillaceae
Also listed under: 1 other name
Description: SAM-I sequence
Rfam family: SAM riboswitch aptamer (S box leader)
About the family: The SAM riboswitch is found upstream of a number of genes which code for proteins involved in methionine or cysteine biosynthesis in Gram-positive bacteria. The SAM riboswitch acts at the level of transcription termination control.
Source: RNAcentral
CUCUUAUCCAGAGCGGCGGAGGGACUGGCCCGAUGAUGCCCGGCAACCUGAUUGUUAUCGAGACAAUAAAGGUGCUAAUUCCUGCAGACACAUUGUUUCUGGCAGAUGAGAG